RNAcentral lists this ribosomal RNA (439 nucleotides) under uncultured bacterium. RNAcentral describes it as "partial 16S ribosomal RNA". It matches the Rfam family "Bacterial small subunit ribosomal RNA", at positions 338 to 795 of the family's 1533-position model. The record is from RNAcentral.
CCUACGGGGGGCAGCAGUGGGGAAUAUUGCACAAUGGGGGAAACCCUGAUGCAGCGACGCCGCGUGAGUGAAGAAGUAAUUCGUUAUGUAAAGCUCUAUCAGCAGGGAAGAAAAUGACGGUACCUGGGGAGGAAGCUCCGGCUAACUACGUGACAGCAGCCGCGGUAAUACGUAGGGAGCGAGCGUUGUCCGGAUUUACUGGGGGUAAGGGGAGCGUAGGCGGGGAUGCAAGUUGGGUGUCAAAACUACCGGCUCAACUGGUAGUCGCACUCAAAACUGCAGCUCUUGAGUGAAGUAGUGGCAGGCGGAAUUCCUAGUGUAGCGGUGAAAUGCGUAGAUAUUAGGAGGAACACCAGUGGCGAAGGCGGCCUGCUGGGCUUUUACUGACGCUGAGGCUCGAAAGUGUGGGGAGCAAACAGGAUUAGAUACCCGUGUAGUC